GGAGGAGUUAUAGCAUAGGCUUUAGAGACUUGAUUAGCUGAGAGAACACGAGCAAUUAUAUUGAAGUUUAAAUUGUUGGUCUUUGUUCAGUUUGUUUUUGAAAAAGUUUUGUAUUGAAAAUCUUUUGAGGUUUGUUUAAAAUUGAGAGCAAGAAAAUUAAAUUAUUGUGGGAUGUGCUUAAUGAUAUCUACCUUCCAUAUUAGAAAAGGCUAGUUACAACUUGAACAUUAACUCACAAACUUGAUGAGAGCAUUAUGUUUUCUUGUGUGUGAUAAAGUGCAGGAUUAAACAUUGAAAGGCAACACUGGUUUCUAUUGAAGAUUUACUCGAGGACAAGCAAGGUUUAAGCAUCGGGGAAUUAUUUACG
This 367-nucleotide long non-coding RNA is filed under the name Setaria viridis. RNAcentral describes it as "long non-coding RNA (SVIR_LNC008835)". Lineage: Eukaryota; Viridiplantae; Streptophyta; Magnoliopsida; Poales; Poaceae. The record is from RNAcentral.